CUCCCGCUCCCCGUCCUCCCCCCUCCCCGGGGGAGCGCCGCGUGGGGGCGGGUUCC
Molecule: non-coding RNA, 56 nt
Filed under: Gorilla gorilla (western gorilla)
Lineage: Eukaryota; Metazoa; Chordata; Mammalia; Primates; Hominidae
Source: RNAcentral